Molecule: ribosomal RNA, 449 nt
Filed under: uncultured prokaryote
Description: bacterial SSU rRNA
Rfam family: Bacterial small subunit ribosomal RNA
Source: RNAcentral
UGGGGAAUCUUGGACAAUGGGCGCAAGCCUGAUCCAGCCAUGCCGCGUGUGUGAAGAAGGCCUUCGGGUUGUAAAGCACUUUCAGCGAGGAAGAACGCCUAGUGGUUAAUACCCAUUAGGAAAGACAUCACUCGCAGAAGAAGCACCGGCUAACUCCGUGCCAGCAGCCGCGGUAAUACGGAGGGUGCAAGCGUUAAUCGGAAUUACUGGGCGUAAAGCGCGCGUAGGUGGCUUGAUAAGCCGGUUGUGAAAGCCCCGGGCUCAACCUGGGAACGGCAUCCGGAACUGUCAGGCUAGAGUGCAGGAGAGGAAGGUAGAAUUCCCGGUGUAGCGGUGAAAUGCGUAGAGAUCGGGAGGAAUACCAGUGGCGAAGGCGGCCUUCUGGACUGACACUGACACUGAGGUGCGAAAGCGUGGGUAGCAAACAGGAUUAGAUACCCCGGUAGUCC